Molecule: ribosomal RNA, 301 nt
Filed under: uncultured bacterium
Lineage: Bacteria
Description: partial 16S ribosomal RNA
Rfam family: Bacterial small subunit ribosomal RNA
Source: RNAcentral
CAGCCGCCGCGGGAAUACGUAGGUGGCAAGCGUUGUCCGGAAUUAUUGGGCGUAAAGGGCUCGCAGGCGGUUUCUUAAGUCUGAUGUGAAAGCCCCCGGCUUAACCGGGGAGGGUCAUUGGAAACUGGGAAACUUGAGUGCAGAAGAGGAGAGUGGAACUCCACGUGUAGCGGUGAAAUGCGUAGAGAUGUGGAGGAACACCAGUGGCGAAGGCGACUCUCUGGUCUGUAACUGACGCUGAGGAGCGAAAGCGUGGGGAGCGAACAGGAUUAGAUACCCCAGUAGUCCCUGUCUCUUAUAC